Molecule: RNA transcript, 4943 nt
Organism: Columba livia (rock pigeon)
Lineage: Eukaryota; Metazoa; Chordata; Aves; Columbiformes; Columbidae
Gene: DNM1
Gene name: dynamin 1
Exons: 24
Source: RefSeq, a predicted model, not a curated record
GCGGGCGGCCGUGUGCAGGCGCGGCGGGCGGGCUGAGGAGAGCGGAGCCCGGGCGGGAGCCAGCGGCACCGAGCGGGUCGAGGGGUGCGGGCUGGUGCCCACCGGCCGGGGCGGCGAGAGCCGGGUCAGCCGCCGCUGAGGGCGCGGGGAGCGGUCGCCUGAGCUCGCCUGUUCGAGGAGCCGCAGCCGCGCCGCAGCCAUGGGGAACCGCGGGAUGGAGGAUCUCAUCCCGCUGGUCAACCGGCUGCAGGACGCCUUCGCCGCCAUCGGGCAGAACGCCAACCUCGACCUGCCGCAGAUCGCCGUGGUGGGGGGGCAGAGCGCCGGCAAGAGCUCGGUGCUGGAGAAUUUUGUCGGGAGGGACUUUCUGCCACGUGGAUCUGGCAUCGUGACCAGGCGCCCGCUCGUCCUGCAGCUGGUGAACUCCAGCACAGAAUAUGGCGAGUUCCUACACUGCAAAGGAAAGAAAUUCACUGAUUUUGAGGAGGUCCGUUUGGAGAUUGAGGCUGAAACGGAUCGUGUUACUGGCUCCAACAAAGGAAUUUCCCCUGUGCCCAUCAAUCUUAGAGUCUACUCUCCCCAUGUCCUGAACCUGACCUUGGUGGAUCUACCGGGAAUGACAAAAGUCCCAGUAGGGGACCAGCCCCCUGACAUCGAGUUUCAGAUCAGAGAUAUGCUCAUGCAGUUCGUCACCAAAGAGAAUUGCCUCAUCCUGGCGGUGUCCCCAGCCAACUCUGAUUUGGCCAAUUCUGAUGCCCUGAAGAUUGCAAAGGAGGUGGAUCCUCAAGGGCAACGCACUAUUGGAGUCAUCACUAAGCUGGAUCUUAUGGAUGAGGGAACUGAUGCACGAGAUGUAUUGGAAAAUAAAUUACUUCCCCUUCGUAGAGGUUACAUUGGUGUAGUCAACAGAAGUCAGAAGGACAUUGAUGGCAAGAAGGACAUUCAGCAAGCAUUGGCUGCAGAGAGAAAAUUCUUUCUCUCCCACCCAGCCUACAGACACAUGGCUGAUCGCAUGGGAACCCCCUACCUGCAGAAAGUAUUGAACCAGCAAUUGACCAACCACAUCCGUGACACCCUGCCCGGGCUGCGGAACAAGCUCCAAAGCCAGCUUCUCUCCAUCGAGAAGGAGGUGGAGGAGUACAAGAGCUUUCGUCCUGAUGACCCUGCUCGCAAAACCAAAGCUCUGCUUCAGAUGGUCCAGCAGUUUGCUGUGGACUUUGAGAAACACAUUGAAGGUUCUGGAGACCAAAUUGAUACCUAUGAGCUGUCAGGAGGAGCCAGGAUUAACCGCAUCUUCCAUGAGCGUUUCCCCUUUGAACUGGUGAAGAUGGAGUUUGAUGAGAAGGAGCUGCGGCGAGAGAUUAGCUAUGCCAUCAAGAACAUCCAUGGUAUCAGAACCGGUCUCUUCACACCCGACAUGGCCUUUGAGACCAUUGUGAAAAAGCAGGUGAAGAAGAUUAAAGAACCGUGCCUGAAAUGCGUGGACAUGGUCAUUUCGGAGUUAAUCAAUACCGUUAGACAGUGCACCAAGAAGCUCAGCCAGUACCCUCAUCUGCGUGAGGAGAUGGAGAGGAUUGUUACUACUCACAUCCGUGAAAGAGAAGGCAGGACCAAAGAUCAGGUCAUGCUUCUAAUAGACAUCGAGCUGGCUUACAUGAACACAAACCAUGAGGAUUUCAUUGGCUUUGCCAAUGCUCAGCAGAGGAGCAGCCAGAUGAGCAAGAAGAAGGCAGCUGGCAACCAGGAUGAGAUCCUGGUCAUCCGAAAGGGCUGGCUGACCAUCAACAACAUCGGUAUCAUGAAGGGAGGCUCCAAGGAGUAUUGGUUUGUCCUGACAGCGGAGAACCUCUCCUGGUACAAAGACGAUGAGGAGAAGGAGAAGAAGUACAUGUUACCCGUGGAUAACCUGAAACUGCGAGAUGUUGAGAAGGGGUUCAUGUCCAGCAAGCACAUCUUUGCUCUCUUCAACACUGAACAGAGGAAUGUGUACAAGGACUACCGGCAGCUGGAGCUGGCCUGCGAGACCCAGGAGGAGGUGGAUAGCUGGAAGGCUUCCUUCCUUCGUGCAGGAGUCUACCCGGAGCGUGUUGGGGACAAGGACAAAGCCAGUGAAGCAGAGGAGAAUGGAUCAGACAGUUUCAUGCACUCCAUGGACCCUCAGCUGGAGAGACAAGUGGAAACGAUCAGGAACCUGGUGGAUUCCUACAUGGCAAUUGUCAACAAAACCAUCAGAGACCUCAUGCCGAAGACAAUCAUGCACCUCAUGAUAAACAAUACCAAGGACUUUAUCCAUUCGGAGCUACUGGCAAACCUGUACUCCUGUGGUGACCAAAACACGCUGAUGGAGGAAUCGGCAGAGCAGGCCCAGCGACGUGACGAAAUGCUGCGCAUGUACCAUGCCCUGAAGGAGGCCCUCAACAUCAUUGGGGACAUCAACACCAGCACCAUCAGCACCCCCAUGCCCCCACCGGUGGACGACUCUUGGCUGCAGGUGCAGAGCGUACCGUCUGGACGCAGGUCUCCCACAUCCAGCCCCACGCCGCAGAGGAGAGCUCCCGCUGUUCCGCCCACCAGACCUGGGUCUCGAGGCCCAGCUCCUGGGCCACCUCCUGCUGGUGGGUCCACGCUGGGUGGUGCGCCCCCUGUGCCCUCCAGGCCAGGUGCCUCUCCUGAUCCCUUCGGGCCACCCCCUCAGGUUCCUUCUCGGCCUAAUCGUGCUCCUCCUGGUGUCCCCAGUUGUUCAUAGACUCCUCUGGAUCCUGACACCAGCUUGUCAUUUGAGUUCACUGAUGAAUGGAGAAUUUCCAAUGACAAGGGACUCCCUCUCUUCCUCUCCUGUAUAUAGAAUAAGAAUGUUCCCUGCUAGCACUUGGACUCGCGUCCUUCUGCCAUGGAAUCACUAUCAGUGACCCCUGAGGACUGGCAGCCACGCAGAAGGGGCCCCGCCUCACCUACUCGACCUACCAUAAUCCGACCGGCUGAACCGUCCCUCUUAGAUUUAUAACUCGAGGCUGUAGAACAGCUGGCGACGAGUGCCGUGCUGGCGGCGUCCCAUCCCUCCCUCCCUCCCGCAGCCACAGUCACUGCUCAUCCAUCCCACGUCUCCCGCCACCCCUCCCUGCUGUGUCGUAAAGCACUAGCCUAGUGAUCGAGCUCUUCGUCUUCACUCGUGCGUCCCGUAUUGCUUUGUGAGCGUAGAGUAGCCUUCAUUCAGUGGCACGGAUCCCUGGAGUACACAGGCUCCUCGGAGAGACCAGCCGCAGGGACGUCCCUAAGUCCGAGUGGCGUCUGUCCGUCCAGUUAUCCCACCUGGUCUAGCCUGGAUAAGUGUCCUGCCUGCGUCUGUUAGCUGUAGCACCUAGGACUGAUCUGUAGCUAUUUUCUUUUCUCAUAGUUAAGACGACAAAAGCGUGACUUAGAAGAAAAAUACUCUCAAAAACACCGUUAGGAACAGAUUCAGUGUCCUGUGUAUUAGUUUUGACUAAGGUGCAAAAAAAUAUCAUGUUGGGAACAGUGCAAUCAACCUUAUAUCAACGUGAGGCAGGGAGGUGGAGAAGGGGGGAACCCGAUGGAUCGGCACAGAGUGAAGUCUGAGGUAGCGCACACUCCGUGCAGGGGGCGCACGGACCUCCCGAAAGAGCUGGGGACACAUUGGGGACACGUUGGGGACACACUGGCUCCUGCCAGCCCUUGUCCUGCAUCCUCAGCUUUCGGCUGACUUACCUGAACCCAGCAGGGAGUGGGGAAUAGAGAUGCUGCUCCCCCCUUGCAAAUGGACAACCAAAUGUUUUCAGGGAGUUUGCUGCGUGAUGUUUUUGUUGAACAAAAUCUUUCUGCUUUGAAUAAGCACAUCUUUCCGUGUUUUUUGGGUACUGUGGUGACUUCUUCCGUAGCCUUUUCUUCUUGCAUGUGAAUGGUACGUGUUUGGGGAAACUUGUAACCGUUGUUGAUCGCAUAUCAUCUUCUUAAGGUUUGGGUUUUACUUUUCAUGCUACAUGUAUUAAAAGAAAAAGACUUGAGAAUUAAAAAUAUAUCAACCCUAUGCAUCUCAGAUGUCAUGUCUCUACCAGAGCUAAAUGAGCCACCUGUGUUGCGGGCUUUCAACCGGCCCUCAUUCACAUUUAAGUUAUUUCAGUGCUAUUGCUCUUAAUUUUGGUCGCAGAUCCUCUAUUGUUCUGAUGCAAGUGUAAUUUUUCCUUUCUGUAUUUUAACAAUUCUUUUACCGCUUCUCCCCCUUUUCUUUCCCUUUCCCCUUUUCCUUUUUCCUCUGUUUUUCUUGUCUUUAAACUCCAGCCGGCCGGGUAAGGCCAGUCCCUCCCGCCCCGAGAGCCCAAAACCACCAUUUGACAUGUAGGCUGCUCCCUCUGAGACUCUUUGCCUGCCUCUUAGCUGUUCUGUCCCGGAAUGGUCUCACUCGAAUGUCACACAUGGCUUGUUUUGUUUGUACUUUGUGACACACACGUAUCGGAUGUGACUGUAGUGAAACUGUUUGGUUGUUUUUUCUUUCUUCCCGGCUGCUUAAAUGAGUAUAUUGUAGUAAUGAGAAACAUAUCGUUACUGUUAUAAAUAUCUAUAAAUAUAUAUAUAUAUAAGAUGAAAAAAAAAUCUAUAUGUCCAGGUGUUUAAAGCCAUUUGUGCUUCCAUGUGGAUUUUAGGAAAUACUUAAGUAGGGAAAAAAUAUAUAUAUACAUAUAUAUACACACACACAUCCAAAAAAUUAACCAAAUCCUGAUGCUGAGUUCUUGAGCUGGUUGUUAAAUUCUCUGCGGUGUGCAGUUGGGUUGUUGUAUUACCCCGGCCCUGUGGGUGAACUGUCUCAGUGCUGGUAGUAGCUGUGAUGCAGUUUGUGAUCUACCUGUCACUCUUGUUUAUUGGAUGAAAUAAACUAUCAUUUCUGUAUAAUGAAGGCCUCCAUGGCUAGAAUAAAACCAUCUCUUUCUCUU